RNAcentral lists this ribosomal RNA (60 nucleotides) under uncultured organism. Its description in RNAcentral is "partial 16S ribosomal RNA". The record is from RNAcentral.
AGGGCUUGACAUCCCUCUGACGGCUUUAGAGAUAAGGCGUCCCUUCGGGGCAGAGGAGAC